This 484-nucleotide ribosomal RNA is filed under the name uncultured bacterium. RNAcentral describes it as "partial 16S ribosomal RNA". It matches the Rfam family "Bacterial small subunit ribosomal RNA", at positions 30 to 507 of the family's 1533-position model. The record is from RNAcentral.
AUUGAACGCUGGCGGCAGGCCUAACACAUGCAAGUCGAACGGAUGAACAGUGCUUGCUUCUGGUUUCAGCGGCGGACUGGUGAGUAAUUCCUGGGAAUAUCCCUGGUUGUGGUUUAGAACGUCCUGAAGCGGGCGCUAAUACCGCAUACGUGCUGAGGGAGAAAGUGGGUGAGCUUCGGACCUCACGCUCUCAGGAGAUUCUAGGUCGGAUUAGCUAGUUGGUGGGGUAAAGGCCUACCAAGGCGACGAUCCGUAACUGGUCUGAGAGGAUGAUCAGUCACACUGGAACUGAGACACGGUCCAGACUCCUACGGGAGGCAGCAGUGGGGAAUAUUGGACAAUGGGCGAAAGCCUGAUCCAGCCAUGCCGCGUGUGUGAAGAAGGUCUUCGGAUUGUAAAGCACUUUAGGUUGGGAGGAAGGGCAGUAAGUUAAUACCUUGCUGUUUUGACGUUACCAACAGAAUAAGCACCGGCUAACUUCGUG